AAAUCUCGUGUGGAACAAAA
This 20-nucleotide small nuclear RNA is filed under the name Arabidopsis thaliana (thale cress). RNAcentral describes it as "snRNA_15867". The record is from RNAcentral. Lineage: Eukaryota; Viridiplantae; Streptophyta; Magnoliopsida; Brassicales; Brassicaceae.